GUAAGGUCUUGCGACGUCAUGCCAACAAGGCGACGGGCCAGCGAUCGUCUUACGGUCGCUUCAUGUGUCCUAGCCAAACGGAACCCCGCUUACGGUGCAAAAUGGAAUUAACCAUAUAAAAAG
RNAcentral lists this long non-coding RNA (123 nucleotides) under Neodiprion lecontei (redheaded pine sawfly). RNAcentral's name for it is "uncharacterized LOC124295211, transcript variant X1". Lineage: Eukaryota; Metazoa; Arthropoda; Insecta; Hymenoptera; Diprionidae. The record is from RNAcentral.